Molecule: small RNA, 123 nt
Filed under: Xanthomonas campestris pv. campestris
Lineage: Bacteria; Pseudomonadati; Pseudomonadota; Gammaproteobacteria; Lysobacterales; Lysobacteraceae
Description: ncRNA of unknown function
Source: RNAcentral
AUCGGACACUUCCUUCUCCCCUCGGGAGAAGGUGGCCCGAAGGGCCGGAUGAGGGUACGUCUGCCAAGAGUGCGACCCGCCCCCGGCAAUCAAGGCAACAACAUAAACCCCAACUGGAAAGAC